Passer domesticus (house sparrow) is the source of this 4646-nucleotide long non-coding RNA. RefSeq lists it as uncharacterized. The transcript is spliced from 2 exons. NCBI's taxonomy places the organism in Eukaryota, Metazoa, Chordata, Aves, Passeriformes, Passeridae. The record is from RefSeq and is a predicted model, not a curated record.
UCUUCUCCUAACUUCUUCUCAAAGUAUAUUUUAAGCCGGACUAAAAAAUUCCAGUCAAUGCCUUAGACAUGGGAAAAAAAUAACAUGGAAACCUUCAUGGGCUGAGACCAAAAAAUCACAGGAUCAUGGAGUGUGCUGAGUUGGAAGGGGCCCACAAGGAUUAUUGAGUCCGACUCCUGGCCCUGCCUAGCACCAUCCCCAAGAAUCACACCAUGGGACUGAGAGAACUUUGUAAACACUUCUUGAACUCUGUCAGGGUUGGUGCUGUGACCAACUUUCCUGGAGAGCCUGUUCCAGUGCCCAAACACACUCUGGGUAAGGAAUCUUUUUCUGAAAUCCAGGUUAAACCUCCCCUGACACAAACUCAGGCCAUUGCCUCACAUCCUGUCAUUGGUGAUCACAGAGAAGAGAACAGUGUCUGCCCGCCCCUCCAAUUCCCCUCACGAGGAGGUUGCAGACUCCUCCAGGCUCAACACAACAAGUGACCUCAGCCACAGCCACUCUGCAAACAGAUUCUCUUCAAGGUUCUUUAACAUCCUCAUUGCCCUCCUUUGGACGCUCCCUAGGAGCUUAAUACCUUUCUUAUAUUCUGGCACCCAAAAGUGCUCCCAGCACUCCAGCUGAGGCUGCCCCAGAGCAGAUCAGAGCAGGACAAUCCACUCCCUUGCCCAGCUGGUGAUGCUGUGCCUGAUUCCCCCUGGACAUGGUUGGCCCUCCUGGCUGCCAGGGCACUGCUGGUUCAUGUUCAACUUGCCAUCGACCAGGAUCCCCAGGUCCCUUUCGAUGGCACUGCUUUCCAGCCUCUCAUUGCCCAGUCUGUCUGUACAUCCAGGAUUGUCCCACAUCAGGUGCAGAAUCCUGCACUUAUUCUUGUUAAACUUCAUAGGGCUAUCAAUUGCCCAGCCCUCUGAUUUGUCAUGAUCUCUCUGCAGGGAGUCAACAGCUCCUCCCAGUUUUGUAUCAUCUGCGAACUUGCCCAGAAUCCCUUGAGUUCUGCAUCCAAAUAAUUUAUGAAUAUGUUGGAGAGCACAGGGCUGAGGAUGGAGCCCCACUAGUGGAAUCCCACUAUUGUCAGGUUGCCAGCAGAUGUCACCCCAUUCCUUAUAACCCUUUGUUUCCGAUCUGUAAGCCAGAUGUUCACCCAUCACAUGACGUGUUUAUCCAGCUGUGUGCCGGCCAUCGUGUCCAGAAAGAUCCUGUGAGAGAUGGUGUCAAAAGCUGCCCCACCAGGCUCUGUGCCAGGCCGCAGGGCCAUCCCUGCCGGGCCUCUCCUGCCCCGUCCCUGCUCCCGCUGUCCCCUCGGGGCUCGCAGCGCUGUUUCUCGCUCGCUUCCCCUGGCUCAGCCCUGGCUGCCGGGCAGCGUUUUGCCCUCCCUUGGCCAGGCUUUCCCCGGGGCUGAGGGGCUCAGCCGUGCCCUGCGCUGGGGCCGGCCCGGGCAGCGCCGGCACAGCCCCGGCCCUGCCGCCACCAACGGGGCACCUCGGCCCAAUGCACACAACUUUCAUCUAUUUAUGAAGUAGGAGAAUAUAAAGGUGUUACACGACCAUAUUUGCUUUCAACUAUGUACUCUGCAAUUUAUUUUUGUUCACUUUACCUCGAGCAGCAAUAACAUCAUAGAUACAUAGACAUGAGCUGAGUGUGAAACACUUUGGCCAAGAGCCUGGCUGCAUAAGGCUUUAGGUGUACAGUACCAUUAGAAGACAGACCUUCAGGUUUGUUAUGCAAGUCCAAGAAUUUUUGUUGAUUCAAAGGCUAAAUUACUGCACAUUGUGCAGUAAAAUAUUGCAGUAAUUGUUUAAUUACUGAAUUACUGCACACAGUAAUGUGCAGCCUAGACAUGCUUCUAGACCAUCUUUUAGAAUAUAUUUCAUACACCCACACAUACACCCACACACAGCUGCACAUACACCCCAAUGAUGGGCUGUGAAACACAUGAAGAGGGUAAGACUGAAGCUGCUUCAUGGCAGGAAAACAGACAUGAUACUUCCCCAGUUUUGUUACCUCUUGUUUUCAUUGGGAUAAAAGCAUUUCCAGUCAAAUGAUUUAUUUUAUUAGAGAAGUAUCCUGUAUGGCCAGUCUCAGACAAUUUCUCUCAUAAUAGUUCUGGAAUCUCUAAAGAAAAGUAAAAGAUAGUGUUGUAGCCAGUGCAUUGAGUAACAGAACACUCUUGCCAAUGCAGGUGUUAUUGAAGUAAUCAAUAAUUAAAUGACGAUAAAACCACUGAUUCCUAAACCAGAAAAACAUAAAAGCUGUAACAUUGUUAAAAGUUGGGUGGGUGGGUGGGUGUGAGGUGACCUAACGAAACCAUUGAAAUAGAAUUAACAUGAAUUAAUUAUUAAAAAAUAAUAAUUAAAAAAAAUUUAAAAAAUUCUAAAAAUACAGGCUUUCCCAAAGACUUAUAGAGUGGUAAAGGAGAGUGGAAGAGUAGCACCUGCACAUACCAAGCAAUAAGUGCAAGGGGACACAGCUGGAGCCUGAGAACGCAUCAGUAUGGACACAUCUAUGCCAAACGGCCAGGAGGAGACACUUGUGGCUCUGACUGGGCUUCCCAGCAAGCAGUCUGUGAGUGCUCUGAUGCAGGGGUAGUUGAAGCGCAAACUGCAGGCAGGGAUUACUAAAAUAAUUUGAAUCCUAUUUAAGAGGAAAUAGAAACCACAUAAAUUGCAGUUGUUUCCCACUAUCUCUGAGUUUAAAUCUAUUCCUUGUGUGAUUCAUCAGACCCAAUUAAGCAGAUUUAAGGGCUUCUCAAUCAAAUACAAAAGACUUUCCAAGUACCUCAAGUAUAUUUUUUAGUGUAAAACAAUUUCACGUCAAUCCCACUGGCAAUAAAACUAGCAGGGGUGUUAUUAAUUUUAAUCCCUAUAAAUUAACAUUUUCAUAUUGAAAUACAUGUUCUAAUAAAUUCCUCGUUAGUAAUUCCACAGAUGACUAUAACAUUACUUUUAUUCUUCCCUUAUUUUAUUUAGCCAUGUAUGUUUAAGUUUUACCUGCCGGAGUUUCAAUUUCUCAUAUAGGUACUGAUCUCAGCUAAGGAGCCAUUUAAAGAAAUGUAGAUUUGUCCUGUUGUUCUUGAACUCUUGGUAUUUGUUACCUUCCUAAGAGAUUUUUAUUAUUCUUUCUUCCAGCUGCAAGCUGUUUGAAAUUAAACAAUAUAAAAGCUUGUCUGACUCUCAGCAAUACCUUUAUUCCCACGGCGAAGCCUGAUCUUUUAAAGCCUCAGAAAUUAAAAAAAACCCCAUAUUGUUUUCAGUUCAAUUUUCACUGGACAGCCGCACAGAAUGGCUGGACUGGGUAAGCUUUAAAAGGGGAAGGUUAGGGUGAUAUCAUGUGCCUUCCGACACGGGAACAUCUGCUCUACCUGCGAGUGAUUCUCUCAAUGUGAGAAGCACACAGUGAACACGGUAAAGAUCCUGUCUGCAAUGGUGCACUGUCCCCUGAGCUCCUUCUGUGUAUUGCACACAGGCUUCCCUUUUAUGCUCGUAAGAAAGCUUGCUGGUUUACAGCAGCACUGCCAGUGCUGCUGGAGUCAGAGUCCCCUACCAUUUCUGCCCUGAGGUGAAUAUAGAGCGCAGAGGCAGCUGGAUGCUCUCUUUUAUUUAUCAGAUCUUCAAGACUACUCAUUGAAGUACCAUUCUUGAUCCACGCAGAGGCAGUAGGUGCAGUCACCAAGGCCUGCUAAUUCUGUCAACACAUGCUGGCUUCUUCCUGGCUGUGCCUCUUUGUUUAUCAAAUAAUCAUUUUCAGUAAUAAGGGAGCAGAGUGUAAACAUGCUCUUCACUAAUUUGCUAUAUUUGAGCAUCUGAUUCUUUAGUGUUGCGAACAGGAAGCACUGAUGAGCUUUGUGACUGCACAGUUUGGUUCCAAUUAAAUUUUUAAUGAAACAAAAGUCAAGACCAACUGUGAGUUUUGACAGAAUUUUGAUUUCAGUGGUGCCCUCUUAUGUCUCUAAUUUAGCCAGGUUUACCCUACUGAAUAUAAAUAUUGAUAGUUGACAGUCAGAAGAGACAAAACAGGGCAUGGAGUGUGCCAGGCAGUUUCCUUUUCUGAGUUGUCACUUUAUUUUAUUUUUUUAUUAUUUUUAGGAUCUGUUGACAGAUUGGCAAUGAAGCCUAUCUUGAAUUUUCAAGCUCAUUCAAAUCUUCUUCCAGAGUGGGUGUCCCAGGGUGAUUCUAAGGCAAAGGAAGCAAAGUGUGUGCUUGCACCAUUGAGCACACUGUGUUAAGCUGAUAGAAAAUGUUUGAAGCUAUUUAACUUCUCUGUCGGAGCCCACAAAACUCUGCUGCUUCCUGCCACUAAUAAAUGCCGUGGAGGCUGGUUGCUCUCAAAACUCCCAGUAAGACCCACUGGUGUUGUUUUUACAGGAGCACAGCAGAAGAGAGAAAAGCUAAUUUAAGAAACAUUUGCAACAGCGAAACAGUGCUCAAAGCCGUGGUAUUAAUGACAGUAGUCAGUAGCAGCAGCUGGCUGCCUGAAUUUAAAUGGCAAUCUACUUGUCAGUAGCAGCUUAAAAACAAUGCAGAUAGUGGACUGCACUGUCUCUUGUGUAAACCUACCCAACAGGUUGCAUGAUUUGAUCUGACCCUUGGAUACUGAGCUCUGUAACCAAGCAGGUUAGACAAAAGAAAAAUAAAUUGCUUUAUCUCUGA